Molecule: transfer RNA, 88 nt
Filed under: Zetaproteobacteria bacterium CG2_30_46_52
Lineage: Bacteria; Pseudomonadati; Pseudomonadota; Candidatius Mariprofundia
Also listed under: 1 other name
Description: tRNA-Ser
Rfam family: tRNA
About the family: Transfer RNA (tRNA) molecules are approximately 80 nucleotides in length. Their secondary structure includes four short double-helical elements and three loops (D, anti-codon, and T loops).
Source: RNAcentral
GGAGAGAUGUCAGAGCGGCCGAACGAGCACGCUUGGAAAGCGUGUGUACAGCAAUGUACCGAGGGUUCGAAUCCCUCUCUCUCCGCCA